AAAUCUUGGAAAAUGUGAGCAGUUUUUUCUAGAGUUGAUGAAGGUCCCUCGGAUGGAAUCGAAGUUGAGAGUAUUUUCUUUCAAGAUGCAGUUUGUCUCGCAGAUUUCUGAUCUUAGGAAGAGUUUGGAUGCUGUAGUUUGUGCAUGCGAAGAGAUCCGGAAUUCUGUUAAAGUGAGGGAAGUCAUGAAGAAAAUUUUGUUCCUCGGGAAUACUCUAAAUCAGGGAACUGCCAGAGGUUCAGCAG
This 245-nucleotide unclassified non-coding RNA is filed under the name Hevea brasiliensis (rubber tree). The record is from RNAcentral. Lineage: Eukaryota; Viridiplantae; Streptophyta; Magnoliopsida; Malpighiales; Euphorbiaceae.